This 276-nucleotide ribosomal RNA is filed under the name uncultured Leptolinea sp. Its description in RNAcentral is "partial 16S ribosomal RNA". It matches the Rfam family "Bacterial small subunit ribosomal RNA", at positions 1094 to 1382 of the family's 1533-position model. The record is from RNAcentral. Lineage: Bacteria; Bacillati; Chloroflexota; Anaerolineae; Anaerolineales; Anaerolineaceae.
GAGCGCAACCCUCGCUGUGUGUUAUAAGUGUCACACGGUACUGCCGGUCGUUAAGCCGGAGGAAGGUGGGGAUGACGUCAAGUCAGCAUGGCCUUUAUAUCCUGGGCUACACACACGCUACAAUGGCCAACACAAUAGGUUGCUAAGCCGCGAGGUGGAGCCAAUCCAAAAAAGUUGGUCUCAGUUCAGAUUGUAGGCUGCAACUCGCCUGCAUGAAGAUGGAGUUGCUAGUAAACGCAGGUCAGCUAUACUGCGUUGAAUACGUUCCCGGGGCUU